RNAcentral lists this transfer RNA (77 nucleotides) under Acidimicrobiales bacterium. RNAcentral's name for it is "tRNA-Pro". It matches the Rfam family "tRNA". Rfam says of the family: Transfer RNA (tRNA) molecules are approximately 80 nucleotides in length. RNAcentral also lists the same sequence under 1 other name. Lineage: Bacteria; Bacillati; Actinomycetota; Acidimicrobiia; Acidimicrobiales. The record is from RNAcentral.
CGGGGAGUGGCGCAGCCUGGUAGCGCACGUGCUUUGGGUGCACGAGGUCGGGGGUUCGAAUCCCCCCUCCCCGACCA